This 254-nucleotide ribosomal RNA is filed under the name uncultured bacterium. RNAcentral's name for it is "partial 16S ribosomal RNA". It matches the Rfam family "Bacterial small subunit ribosomal RNA", at positions 524 to 777 of the family's 1533-position model. The record is from RNAcentral.
UACGGAGGGUGCAAGCGUUGUCCGGAAUCACUGGGCGUAAAGGGCGCGUAGGCGGCUCAUGAAGGCUGUGGUGAAAGUCCGGGGCUCAACCUCGGAUCGGCCGUGGCGACUCGUGGGCUGGAGCACUGUAGAGGCGGGUGGAAUUCCGGGUGUAGCGGUGGAAUGCGUAGAGAUCCGGAAGAACACCAGUGGCGAAGGCGGCCCGCUGGGCAGUGGCUGACGCUGAGGCGCGACAGCGUGGGGAGCAAACGAGG